RNAcentral lists this ribosomal RNA (515 nucleotides) under uncultured bacterium. RNAcentral describes it as "partial 16S ribosomal RNA". It matches the Rfam family "Bacterial small subunit ribosomal RNA", at positions 28 to 523 of the family's 1533-position model. The record is from RNAcentral.
GAUGAACGCUGGCGGCGUGCCUAAUACAUGCAAGUCGAGCGAAUGGAUUAAGAGCUUGCUCUUAUGAAGUUAGCGGCGGACGGGUGAGUAACACGUGGGUAACCUGCCCAUAAGACUGGGAUAACUCCGGGAAACCGGGGCUAAUACCGGAUAACAUUUUGAACCGCAUGGUUCGAAAUUGAAAGGCGGCUUCGGCUGUCACUUAUGGAUGGACCCGCGUCGCAUUAGCUAGUUGGUGAGGUAACGGCUCACCAAGGCAACGAUGCGUAGCCGACCUGGGAGGGUGGUCGUCCACGCUGGCACGGGGACACGGCCCAGACUCCUCCGGGAGGCAGCAGUAGGGAAUCUUCCGCAAUGGACGAAAGUCUGACGGGGCAACGCCGCGUGAGUGAUGAAGGCUUUCGGGUCGUAAAACUCUGUUGUUAGGGAAGAACAAGUGCUAGUUGAAUAAGCUGGCACCUUGACGGUACCUAACCAGAAAGCCACGGCUAACUACGUGCCAGCCGCCGCCGUAA